This 865-nucleotide ribosomal RNA is filed under the name uncultured bacterium. RNAcentral describes it as "SSU rRNA". It matches the Rfam family "Bacterial small subunit ribosomal RNA", at positions 524 to 1381 of the family's 1533-position model. The record is from RNAcentral.
UACAGAGGUGGCGAGCGUUGUUCGGAUUUACUGGGCGUAAAGGGUGCGUAGGUGGUUUCGUAUGUCGGAUGUGAAAUCCCAUUGCUCAUCGGUGGAACUGCAUUCUAAACUGCGGGACUAGAGUACAGGAGAGGAGAGCGUAAUUCUUGGUGUAGCGGUGAAAUGCGUUGAUAUCAAGAAGAACACCGGUGGCGAAGGCGGCUCUCUGGAAUGUUACUGACACUGAGGCACGAAAGCUGGGGGAGCAAGCAGGAUUAGAUACCCUGGUAGACCCAGCCCUAAACGGUGUACACUUGGUGUGGGGAGAUUUGACCCUCCCCGUGCCGUAGCUAACGCGUUAAGUGUACCGCCUGGGGAGUACGGCCGCAAGGCUAAAACUCAAAGAAAUUGACGGGGGCCCGCACAAGCGGAGGAGCAUGUGGCUUAAUUCGAUGCAACGCGAAGAACCUUACCUGGGCUUGACAUGCAGCUGCAGGCCCCGGGAAACCGGGGCGGCCUUCGAGGGUGCUGCACAGGUGCUGCAUGGCUGUCGUCAGUUCGUGCCGUGAGGUGUUUGGUUAAGUCCAGCAACGAACGCAACCCCUAUGUUUAGUUGCCACUCCCAAUGAUGAGUCGGGAAGCACUUUAGACAGACUGCCCGUGUAAGCGGGAGGAAGGUGGGGAUGACGUCAAGUCAGUAUGGCCCUUACGCCCAGGGCUGCACACGUGCUACAAUGGAAGUUACAGAGGGAUGCGAAACCGCGAGGUGGGGCAAAUCCUCAAAAACUUCCUCAGUUCAGAUUGGAGUCCGCAACUCGACUCCAGGAAGUCGGAUUCGCUAGUAAUGGCGCAUCAGCUACGGCGCCGUGAAUACGUUCCCGGGCCU